RNAcentral lists this ribosomal RNA (252 nucleotides) under uncultured bacterium. Its description in RNAcentral is "partial 16S ribosomal RNA". It matches the Rfam family "Bacterial small subunit ribosomal RNA", at positions 524 to 776 of the family's 1533-position model. The record is from RNAcentral.
UACGGAGGAUGCGAGCGUUAUCCGGAUUUAUUGGGUUUAAAGGGUGCGCAGGCGGCACGGCAAGCCGGCGGUCAAAUCGCGGGGCUCAACCCCGCCCAGCCGUCGGAACUGCCGGGCUUGAGUGGGCGAGAAGUGCGCGGAAUGCGUGGUGUAGCGGUGAAAUGCAUAGAUAUCACGCAGAACUCCGAUUGCGAAGGCAGCGCACCGGCGCCCUACUGACGCUCAGGCACGAAAGCGUGGGUAUCGAACAGG